Molecule: ribosomal RNA, 468 nt
Filed under: uncultured bacterium
Lineage: Bacteria
Description: partial 16S ribosomal RNA
Rfam family: Bacterial small subunit ribosomal RNA
Source: RNAcentral
GACGAACGCUGGCGGCGUGCUUAACACAUGCAAGUCGAACGGAAAGGCCCUGCUUUUGUGGGGUGCUCGAGUGGCGAACGGGUGAGUAACACGUGAGUAACCUGCCCUUGACUUUGGGAUAACUUCAGGAAACUGGGGCUAAUACCGGAUAGGAGCUCCUGCUGCAUUGUGGGGGUUGGAAAGUUUCGGCGGUUGGGGAUGGACUCGCGGCUUAUCAGCUUGUUGGUUGGGUAGUGGCUUACCAAGGCUUUGACGGGUAGCCGGCCUGAGAGGGUGACCGGCCACAUUGGGACUGAGAUACGGCCCAGACUCCUACGGGAGGCAGCAGUGGGGAAUAUUGCACAAUGGGCGGAAGCCUGAUGCAGCAACGCCGCGUGCGGGAUGACGGCCUUCGGGUUGUAAACCGCUUUCGCCUGUGACGAAGCGUGAGUGACGGUAAUGGGUAAAGAAGCACCGGCUAACUACGUG